ACGGGUGAGUAAAACCAAGGAAUCUGCCUGAUAGUGGGGGAUAACGUUCGGAAACGGACGCUAAUACCGCAUACGUCCUACGGGAGAAAGCAGGGGACCUUCGGGCCUUGCGCUAUCAGAUGAGCCUAGGUCGGAUUAGCUAGUUGGUGAGGUAAUGGCUCACCAAGGCUACGAUCCGUAACUGGUCUGAGAGGAUGAUCAGUCACACUGGAACUGAGACACGGUCCAGACUCCUACGGGAGGCAGCAGUGGGGAAUAUUGGACAAUGGGCGAAAGCCUGAUCCAGCCAUGCCGCGUGUGUGAAGAAGGUCUUCGGAUUGUAAAGCACUUUAAGUUGGGAGGAAGGGCAGUAAAUUAAUACUUUGCUGCUUUGACGUUACCGACAGAAUAAGCACCGGCUAACUCUGUGCCAGCAGCCGCGGUAAUACAGAGGGUGCAAGCGUUAAUCGGAAUUACUGGGCGUAAAGCGCGCGUACGUGGUUUGUUAAGUUGAAUGUGAAAUCCCCGGGCUCAACCUGGGAACUGCAUCCAAAACUGGCAAGCUAGAGUAUGGUAGAGGGUAGUGGAAUUUCCUGUGUA
RNAcentral lists this ribosomal RNA (579 nucleotides) under uncultured Pseudomonas sp. RNAcentral describes it as "bacterial SSU rRNA". It matches the Rfam family "Bacterial small subunit ribosomal RNA", at positions 102 to 677 of the family's 1533-position model. The record is from RNAcentral. Lineage: Bacteria; Pseudomonadati; Pseudomonadota; Gammaproteobacteria; Pseudomonadales; Pseudomonadaceae.